This 437-nucleotide unclassified non-coding RNA is filed under the name uncultured Thelephoraceae. Its description in RNAcentral is "sequence contains ITS2". The stretch from base 1 to 155 matches the Rfam family "5.8S ribosomal RNA". The record is from RNAcentral. Lineage: Eukaryota; Fungi; Basidiomycota; Agaricomycetes; Thelephorales; Thelephoraceae.
AACUUUUGGCAACGGAUCACUUGGCUCUCGCAUCGUUGAAGAACGCAGCGAAAUGCGAUGAGUAAUGUGAAUUGCAGAAUUCAGUGAAUCAUCGAAUCUUUGAACGCACCUUGCGCCCUUUGGCUAUUCCGAAGGGCAUGCCUGUUUGAGUAUCAUGAACACCUCAACUCUCAUGGUUUGCCAUGAUGAGCUUGGACUUUGGGGGUCUUGCUGGCCUAUGGUCAGCUCCUCUCAAAUGAAUCAGCUUACCAGUGUUUGGUGGCAUCGCGGGUGUGAUAACUAUCUACACUUGUGGUUUUCCACCAGAUAACCUUCAGUGAUGAAGGUUCGCUGGAGCUCACAAAUGUCUCUCCUCGGCGAGGACAGCUUUCUGAACGUUUGAUCUCAAAUCAGGUAGGACUACCCGCUGAACUUAAGCAUAUCAAUAAGCGGAGGCU